RNAcentral lists this ribosomal RNA (449 nucleotides) under uncultured bacterium. Its description in RNAcentral is "SSU rRNA". It matches the Rfam family "Bacterial small subunit ribosomal RNA", at positions 26 to 518 of the family's 1533-position model. The record is from RNAcentral.
AGGAUGAACGCUGGCGGUCUGCUUAACACAUGCAAGUCGAACGGAGUAGCAAUACUUAGUGGCGGACGGGUGAGUAACGCGUGAGAAUCUACCUUCAGGACGGAGACAACAGUUGGAAACGACUGCUAACCCCCGAUGUACCGCAAGGGCAAAUAUUUAUAGCCUGAAGAAGAGCUCGCGUCCGAUUAGCUAGUUGGAGAGGUAAAAGCUCACCAAGGCGACGAUCGGUAGCUGGUCUGAGAGGACGAUCAGCCACACUGGGACUGAGACACGGCCCAGACUCCUACGGGAGGCAGCAGUGGGGAAUUUUCCGCAAUGGGCGAAAGCCUGACGGAGCAAGACCGCGUGGGGGAAGAAGGCUCUUGGGUUGUAAACCCCCUUUUCUCUGGGAAGAACACAAUGACGGUACCAGAGGAAUCAGCAUCGGCUAACUCCGUGCCAGCAGCCGC